CAUCACAGUAACACUGAGUACUUCUGCUCUGUCACGCCUCGCUGGCUUGCUCAGAACAGCAAGACGCUAGGAAAGCUCCACUCAGCAGUUAAAACUCACAAGUUGAAGAAACCCGAAAGGUCGAAUCCGUCCACUGAGCUGUUGAGCAUUUAUGGAUGAUUUGUGGUGUGGAAGCUCACAGUGGGGAAUCGACAAGACAGUCCUUCAUAUCCACAGCCUGAAAGCGCUCUCCUCUGCUGCUACAGUGACAAAUAUACCAGAGCUGAAUGGACAGGAAAGAUUCCUGGGUUCAAGGAACAUGAGUCCAAGGACAACCAUGCAACAUCCCAAACAUUGCCAUCUACCAUGAAAGGUUGAAUAUACUGAUGAGCAAAUAUGAAGAACCCCAGGUCAGAAGUCAGCAGUCUGACUAUUAUUCCUAUUCCCAGAUUACAAGGCACUUAACUCACUAGGAUGCAAAGUCCUUUCUUCACCUUUGAAUGAAGACUCUAACAUUGAGCAUUGGGUAGGAUUAUGGAUGCAAAGCAUGGACAUGGUGCCUGGCAUCCAGCAGAUGUUUAAUAAAUAAUGGCUCCUUUUAUUUCCUCCACUACAAGGUAAGAAAUUAACUUCAGUUGCUUUUUC
This 624-nucleotide long non-coding RNA is filed under the name Fukomys damarensis (Damara mole-rat). Its description in RNAcentral is "lncRNA (ENSFDAG00000026353.1)". Lineage: Eukaryota; Metazoa; Chordata; Mammalia; Rodentia; Bathyergidae. The record is from RNAcentral.